UUGGACAUGCCUGGCGUAUGUAAUAGGCCAUGUAUGAUUGAUUUUUCUCUCUCUUUCUUUUUUCCUUUUUUUUCUUUGCCUCCACUAACAAGUUUUGGCAUGUAUUGGUGUUAGAAAUACUCUCGCAAGAUUCCAUGAAGGUAAGAAGAUCAUGUAUUUGCAAAAGACAAGUAACAGAGGAUACAAAGGUAAACUAUAA
RNAcentral lists this long non-coding RNA (199 nucleotides) under Lathyrus oleraceus (garden pea). Its description in RNAcentral is "Pisum sativum (pea) long non-coding RNA (PSAT_LNC028904)". Lineage: Eukaryota; Viridiplantae; Streptophyta; Magnoliopsida; Fabales; Fabaceae. The record is from RNAcentral.